RNAcentral lists this ribosomal RNA (2814 nucleotides) under Triticum aestivum (bread wheat). RNAcentral describes it as "partial small subunit ribosomal RNA". The record is from RNAcentral. Lineage: Eukaryota; Viridiplantae; Streptophyta; Magnoliopsida; Poales; Poaceae.
AUGGAGGCUGUGGCGACGGCCGCGGCCACCUCCUUGGUGGAGUGGAUGGUGCCUAAACUCUUUGAUUCCUUGCUGGCAAAGCACGAGCUCCGGAAGAGUCUCAAGAUCGACAUCAACUACAUCAAGAACGAGUUUGCUAUGAUUUCGGCCGUCAUCCAUAAUGAUGAUCGCCGCAGCGGCUGCCGUGGCGGCCGUGAAGAUGUGAAUAUGGUGUGGAUUAAUAUGGUACGUGAAUUGGCGCACGCCAUAGAGGACUGCAUCGACCGCUUCAUGCACCGUGUGAGGGCCGACCAAGACACCGGGAGAGUGCGCCAGGCUUUCCACCGGGCAAAGACGAUGAAGGCCCGGAACAAGUUUGCUGCAGAGAUCCGACAGCUCAAGAAGAGAUCAGAGGAUGUAUUCAAGCUGAGAGACUCAUACAACAAUGCUAGCAGCAGCACCUCCUCACCAAGGCAGUCGUUGUCGUCUCAGCAGACAGACACGCCGACGGCAAUUGAGGACGACGAGGAUGGCACCCAUUCAGAGGCAUCCAUCGCCGUGCCCGUGGGUAUGGACACCCCCCGGGACGAGCUUCUGGAUCUGAUCCAGCAGGAGCAGAAGCUGAAAGUGAUUACCAUUGUGGGGUUCCAUGGUAUGGGGAAGACUCUUCUUGCAAAUCAUGUGUACAAGGCAAUUGAGAGCAAAAGCGAAUACGAAGCACGGGCUUGGGUCCCUCCAAGGAAACUAGGGGGGAGCGGGGCAGCCGCAGAUGUUCUCAAGGAGAUACUCUGGCAGCUUGGCCACCUUCCCCUGCCCACCAGUGGCGGUCUCACCCAGCUUAAGGCAAGCAUCAAAAAGUGCAUUGGCACCAAGAGGUUUUUCAUUGUAAUUGAUGACCUGCGGACAGUAGCAUACUGGCACGACAUGAAGAAGGCCUUCAUGGGGUUAAGCGGUAGAUUUCUAGUGACGACCGCCAUUCAGCACGUAGCAAAUACCUGCAGCAGCUCAGUUGUUCGUGAUCAUGUGUACACAAUGGCAACCCUUUCUGACCAACACUCAAGACAAUUGUUCUUCAAUGAAGCUUUCCAAGACGAUGAACCACCGCUGGAUGCAGAGGAGCUCGGCUCCGCAGCGCUCAAGAAAUGUGAUGGUCUUCCCCUUGCUCUUGUUACCACCGCCAGGUUCUUUCAAAGUGCAGGUAAUCCAACACCCAUGAAAUGGGCAAAAUUAUGCGCCGACCUGGGUACAUAUCUGGAGAGUGAUGAACUAUUUGCAAGAAUGAGGCGUGUGCUUGUCCAGAGCUACACCAGCCUUGAUAGCCAGGUUGCCAGGAUAUUUUUGCUCUAUUUGGGUACCUACCCAAGUGGUCGUCCUAUCAAGAAAAAAAGACUGUUAAGGAGAUGGUUAUCAGAAGGAUUAUCCCCAGGAGACAAUGCAUGUAGUGCCCUCAACACUGCUAUUAUCAAUUUCAAUAAGCUUGUCGACCGGAGUAUCAUCCAGCCUAUGGAUGCCAGUGGUAGCAGCACAGAGGUGAAGACAUGCCAUACCCAUGGCAUGAUGCUGGAGUUUGUCCUGCGCAAGUCCAUGUCCGACAACUUUGUUACCGUGUUGUACAAUCGGCAGUCUAACCCAUCCAUACCCAGUAACAUCCGCCGGCUUGCUCUGCAUCAUGCAAGGCCCAGAGAAGUGCAAGGUUUAACUCUUGUCCGGUCACUGACAAUCUUGGGAGAGGCGCACCCAUCUGUCCUGGACUUCUCCAAGUAUGAACUGCUGCGAGUUUUGGAUCUGGAAGAGUGCGUUGUAUCCUUGGGGGAUGGCCAUCUCAAGUUGAUAUGCACCAAACUGUUGCUGCUGAGGUACCUAUGCCUCGGGGCCGCUGUUAUUGCUACAGCGCUUCCAAAGGAGAUCAGCAAGCUUCAAGUAUUGGAUACACUAGAUGUGAGAAAUACAGCGAUAGAGAUUCUGCAAACACAAGUCCUGGAGCUGCCAUGUCUAGUUCAUCUCUUUGGGAAGUUCAAGCUCAAGCAAGAUGUAGGAGGCCGGACAAUGAGUAAGGUACAGACUUGGUUGUCAGUGAAGAGCAAAUUGGAAACAUUGGCAGGAUUUGUUUUGGACAACAGCAAGAGCCAAGAGUUUGCACAGCUCAUGUACAAUAUGAAUGAUUUGACAAAGGUGAAAAUACAGUGUGAGUCUACCGCCGACACCAGCAGCUCAAGUCAUCUCUCAAAGGCCAUCAAGGGGUUCAUUGAGAGAAGCACUGACUCCACAGGGACUCCAUCACUCUCACUCAAUUUUGAAGACGAGUUGACCCAAGACAUGCUGAAUUUCUCUCUGGAUAAGGGAAAGAAUCACUGCUGCUAUCUUGCCUCGCUCAAGCUGCAAGGAAGCAAGAUAUGCAGCCUUCCGUCCUUUGUUGCCUUUCUGGGUGGUCUCACUAAGCUAGGCCUUUCAUCCCCUCAGCUGAGCCUUAGCCAAGAUUUUCUUGCUACCCUGAGCAAAGUGCCUGGCCUGGCGCACCUGAAGCUGGUUGCAACUAGCCUGGGCAGGCUCGUCAUCACAAAAGGUACACUUAAGAGCCUGGUACGCCUAUCCAUUCUGGUGAAAUCCAUGAUUGGUCAGCUGGAAAUCCAAGAGGGAGCUUUACCACGCCUCAGGUCGAUGCAGCUGCUAUGCAAAGAUCUGGCUGGCUCUAUUUCUGGCACGUCAGCGGUCCAUUCCCUUGGGCAUCUUGACGAGAUUGCUCUCCAUCGUGAUGUGGGAGAUGAAACAAAAAAUGAGUGGAAAGAAGCAGCAAAGAACCUCCCAGGUCGACGCCCCAAGAUAUUGUUUCUCUAG